AGAGUUUGAUCCUGGCUCAGGAUGAACGCUAGCGGGAGGCCUAACACAUGCAAGUCGAACGGGAUUGGGAGCUUGCUCCCAUGAGAGUGGCGCACGGGUGAGUAACGCGUAUGCAACCUACCUUUAACAGAGGGAUAGCCCAUAGAAAUGUGGAUUAAUACCUCAUAGUUCUAUUGAGUCGCAUGAUUUGAUAGAUAAAGCUCCGGCGGUUAAAGAUGGGCAUGCGUGACAUUAGCUAGUUGGUAAGGUAACGGCUUACCAAGGCUACGAUGUCUAGGGGUUCUGAGAGGAUGAUCCCCCACACUGGUACUGAGACACGGACCAGACUCCUACGGGAGGCAGCAGUGGGGAAUUUUGCGCAAUGGGGGAAACCCUGACGCAGCAACGCCGCGUGAGUGAUGAAGGCUUUCGGGUCGUAAAGCUCUGUCAGAGGGGAAGAAAUGAGACUGGCUAAUAUCCAGUUUUCUUGACGGUACCCUCAAAGGAAGCACCGGCUAACUCCGUGCCAGCAGCCGCGGUAAUACGGAGGGUGCAGGCGUUGUUCGGAUUUAUUGGGCGUAAAGCGCGUGUAGGCGGUUUCUUAAGUCUGAUGUGAAAGCCCUGGGCUCAACCCAGGAAGUGCAUUGGAUACUGGGAGACUUGAAUACGGGAGAGGGUAGUGGAAUUCCUAGUGUAGGAGUGAAAUCCGUAGAUAUUAGGAGGAACACCGGUGGCGAAGGCGGCUACCUGGACCGAUAUUGACGCUGAGACGCGAAAGCGUGGGGAGCAAACAGGAUUAGAUACCCUGGUAGUCC
Molecule: ribosomal RNA, 794 nt
Filed under: uncultured bacterium
Lineage: Bacteria
Description: bacterial SSU rRNA
Rfam family: Bacterial small subunit ribosomal RNA
Source: RNAcentral